Molecule: ribosomal RNA, 578 nt
Filed under: uncultured bacterium
Lineage: Bacteria
Description: bacterial SSU rRNA
Rfam family: Bacterial small subunit ribosomal RNA
Source: RNAcentral
ACGGGUGAGUAACACGUGGGUGAUCUGCCCUGCACUUUGGGAUAAGCCUGGGAAACUGGGUCUAAUACCGAAUAUGACCAUGCGCCUCCUGGUGUGUGGUGGAAAGCUUUUGCGGUGUGGGAUGGGCCCGCGGCCUAUCAGCUUGCUGGUGGGGUAAUGGCCUACCAAGGCGACGACGGGUAGCCGGCCUGAGAGGAUGACCGGCCACACUGGGACUGAGAUACGGCCCAGACUCCUACGGGAGGCAGCAGUGGGGAAUAUUGCACAAUGGGCGCAAGCCUGAUGCAGCGACGCCGCGUGAGGGAUGACGGCCUUCGGGUUGUAAACCUCUUUCAGCACAGACGAAGCGCAAGUGACGGUAUGUGCAGAAGAAGGACCGGCCAACUACGUGCCAGCAGCCGCGGUAAUACGUAGGGUCCGAGCGUUGUCCGGAAUUACUGGGCGUAAAGAGCUCGUAGGUGGUUUGUCGCGUUGUUCGUGAAAACUCACAACUCAAUUGUGGGCGUGCGGGCGAUACGGGCAGACUUGAGUACUGCAGGGGAGACUGGAAUUCCUGGUGUAGCGGUGGAAUGCGCAGA